Molecule: ribosomal RNA, 1293 nt
Filed under: uncultured bacterium
Lineage: Bacteria
Description: bacterial SSU rRNA
Rfam family: Bacterial small subunit ribosomal RNA
Source: RNAcentral
GAACGGAGAGAGAAGGAGCUUGCUUCUUCGAUCGAGUGGCGAACGGGUGAGUAACGCGUGAGGAACCUGCCUCAAAGAGGGGGACAACAGUUGGAAACGACUGCUAAUACCGCAUAAGCCCACGGGUCGGCAUCGACCUGAGGGAAAAGGAGCAAUCCGCUUUGAGAUGGCCUCGCGUCCGAUUAGCUAGUUGGUGAGGUAACGGCCCACCAAGGCGACGAUCGGUAGCCGGACUGAGAGGUUGAACGGCCACAUUGGGACUGAGACACGGCCCAGACUCCUACGGGAGGCAGCAGUGGGGAAUAUUGCACAAUGGGGGAAGCCCUGAUGCAGCGACGCCGCGUGGAGGAAGAAGGUCUUCGGAUUGUAAACUCCUGUUGUUGAGGAAGAUAAUGACGGUACUCAACAAGGAAGUGACGGCUAACUACGUGCCAGCAGCCGCGGUAAAACGUAGGUCACAAGCGUUGUCCGGAAUUACUGGGUGUAAAGGGAGCGCAGGCGGGAAGACAAGUUGGAAGUGAAAUCUAUGGGCUCAACCCAUAAACUGCUUUCAAAACUGUUUUUCUUGAGUAGUGCAGAGGUAGGCGGAAUUCCCGGUGUAGCGGUGGAAUGCGUAGAUAUCGGGAGGAACACCAGUGGCGAAGGCGGCCUACUGGGCACCAACUGACGCUGAGGCUCGAAAGUGUGGGUAGCAAACAGGAUUAGAUACCCUGGUAGUCCACACCGUAAACGAUGAUUACUAGGUGUUGGAGGAUUGACCCCUUCAGUGCCGCAGUUAACACAAUAAGUAAUCCACCUGGGGAGUACGACCGCAAGGUUGAAACUCAAAGGAAUUGACGGGGGCCCGCACAAGCAGUGGAGUAUGUGGUUUAAUUCGACGCAACGCGAAGAACCUUACCAAGUCUUGACAUCCCUUGACGGACAUAGAAAUAUGUUUUCUCUUCGGAGCAAGGAGACAGGUGGUGCAUGGUUGUCGUCAGCUCGUGUCGUGAGAUGUUGGGUUAAGUCCCGCAACGAGCGCAACCCUUAUGGUCAGUUACUACGCAAGAGGACUCUGGCCAGACUGCCGUUGACAAAACGGAGGAAGGUGGGGAUGACGUCAAAUCAUCAUGCCCUUUAUGACUUGGGCUACACACGUACUACAAUGGCGUUAAACAAAGAGAAGCAAGACCGCGAGGUGGAGCAAAACUCAGAAACAACGUCCCAGUUCGGACUGCAGGCUGCAACUCGCCUGCACGAAGUCGGAAUUGCUAGUAAUCGUGGAUCAGCAUGCCACGGUGAAUACGUUCCCGG